GGAGCUUUCAAUACUUUGGGGUCAAGUUUGAGGCAGUUGUAACUGUACUGAGUUUAGUUUUGCUAAUAAUGGUAUUCUACGUGUGUCAGCCUCGUGUGGACUUCUGUAAUGACUAAUGGAUAUGUUUAUAUCCUGAGCAUUUGCUGUAGGAAUUUUAAAUGCAAUCCCAAAACUCAAGAUUACCUUAUUUGGAGAAAUAUUCGUGUUACUAUGUUUAAAAUUUAAUAGAACCAUAUUUUACCUUUCACUUUGGGACUCGCACAGGAUGUUUGCAGCUCUUGAUAUACAGGAACUAGAACGUGUCUUUUAAGAGCAUGCGGUUUUAUAAUUACGUGGAAGUAUGCUACGCAAGGGAAAAAAGCCUCUUGCUAGUGUUAAGGGUCUUCAUAAACAGAAACCGCAAGGAACCUGGGAUCUGACAGCUGUUGGAGGAAUGCCUGUGAGGAAGGAGGAGGAACAGAAGAAUGCUUUGAUGUCUUAAAUGGUACAUCCAAACUUAAGUGAAAUAGAGCUGUGAGGACAUUUUGGGGAGAAGUGACCUAGAUAAGCACUGACUGUUGCAUUCAUCUCUCUUCUUGCUGAUUGUGAUGAUUUCCUGUGCCAUAGCCAUUCAAAGUCUGCCAAAAAAGAGUGGAGAAGGAGCAGUUUUUCCAUUUCCCUGAAAAGAAUUGAGUGAAGUUGACAGCAGGAUUGCAGAAGUGGGAGGACCCAAGGUGAGGGAAGCAUGGUUGGGAAUUUCUGCUAUCUGUUUGUCAUUAGGAUUUGUUUUUCUUUCCUUCUAAGACUUAAAUGUCUUUUAAUUAUAGGUCAGCUGAUUCUGUAACUGAAGAGUUGAGUAGCGGAUUAAAUACAGCCUGCUGUUACUGUAAUAAGGAAUGAUUAGGAUCUAGAACAGUUUUCUCUCUUGCAUGGAAAAAAAAGCACCAAUUAGUAUUAAUGAAUCACUGCUUGUAUAAGGCAGCCAGGUUUCUAGUUUCCCCAAAAUACGAGAAUGACCUAAUUUUGCCCAAGAAAUUUUGUUUUCUUAUUAUUAUUACUGUAGUUGCACUUUUUAUAAAUGAAAUCUUUGUAUAAAGGACUAUCUAAAGUUUUUAGGUAUACUGUUUAGAAAUAAUGAUUAAGAGUAUAUUUAAAUUUCUUACAUUAAAUAUAAAUGUACUGAGGCUGAAAACAAGAGCUUAUUUUUGGUUACAUAUCUGAAUUAAACCUGUGUACUCUUAUUUUGGUAGCUUAGUCAAGGAUUGAUUUUAUUGUCUUAAUGGAAGGAGAAAGGAGGAUACUGUUUGUCAGGGACUGUUGAAAUAGUCAUGCUGUUCAUUUGUGGUGUGUGAUAUAAAUGUAAACCUUUCGGAAGGUAAUUUGGCAUAUUUGUCCAAAAGCCUGAAAAAUGUUUGUACUGUUUGAUAAUAUACAAGCAUUUCUAGGAAUAUAUAACUAAGAAAUAAUUAUAGGCACAGGAAAGAUUCACAGUUACAAUGUGUAAAGUUGGAAACAGCCCAAAAUGAUCAACUAGGGAUUCCUGUUACAGAGGAAGAAACUUUCUUCUGUCUUGUUCAGGGCAGUAUCCCAAGUGUCAAAAACAGUGGCUGACUGGCCUGAACACAUGCAUGGAGGGUGCCAGCCCCAUGCCUGCCAGUGCUCUGCCCCCGUGCCACCACCACUACUGGUGCAAACACACCCAUGGAUGCCAGAAGCCCCACACCCCUCUCC
This is a long non-coding RNA of Homo sapiens (human), 1710 nucleotides long. Ensembl annotates it as LYPLAL1 divergent transcript. Its record names the gene LYPLAL1-DT. The record is from Ensembl. NCBI's taxonomy places the organism in Eukaryota, Metazoa, Chordata, Mammalia, Primates, Hominidae.